UGUUUUUCUUUGAUCUGUUGUUGGUGGAUACUUCUGACUUCAGAUUUCACGUUUGGCAAUGCGGCAGUGAAUCAUGCUCUAACUUUAUUUGUUAAUCAUGGAGAGUCUGCCAAAAUAAGAUGCAACUACAGCCGAACAGAUGACACAGAAAUCAUGACAGUGGAUUUAAAAGCGUUAAAUCAGACACGCAUGUGUUCAUACAUACAUUUGAAUUCAUGGAAAAAACAAAGCUGCAAAGAUCACAUCAGAUUCAUAUGGAAUCCAGAGGCUAAGGAAAUAUCAUUUGAGCUAUUAAAUCUCCAUAUUAAGGAUACCGGCAAAUACACCUGUAUUGUGAGGAGGAAUGCAAAACCACCUGAAGUGGAUCUGGGAGUAGAAAGAGUUCAAAUUAUUGGCUGCCAACAGAAAAGCCACGCUCCUCCUAAUUAGCCUCAGCUGCGGAUGAUUUGGAGUGCUGCAUGAAAGAAAGGGAGAUAAUAAAAAAAAAAAGAAGAAAGAAAACAUUCACCAGCAUAGUACAAACACAAGACUAUGUCACAGGACGUAACAUCAGAAAAAAUGUAAUAUUAUAUAAUAACUUUGCAUGAAUCCUUUCACUAUUUGCAGUGUAUCCCGUCUUGUCUCUGUCCUGUGUGAAGAGGCCUGAUGGGUCUCCCAUGAUUCUGUGCUCUGUGGAUUUUUAGCAUGAUUCUCUUGAACAGUUUUGCAGAGACGGAGAUGUCCUCAAAAGCUCAUACUCAAAAAAAUCAUUCAAUGGAUUCUUCAGUCAGCAAUCAUACCUUAUACUGCCACCACAGACCUUCAAUGAUACAGUCUACUCCUGCUGGGUAAAUCAUUCAUCCCUAAACAAACCACUAGUGGCCAGUUUAUCAAGCUCGGUCUGCUAUAAGAAAGGGGGUAAGUUUUUUCUUGUUUAAAUGUGUUACAUACUGUAUGACAUAAUGACAUAUCAGUAAGAAAUUGGCUAUAAUGUGGUUUAUAAUAUAUAAUUCUGUCUUGUAGAUUUAACGGAGGCUCUGGCAGUGGCAUUUGUUAUCUCUGCGGUUUUGACAGUCGUUUUGAUGAUUUUUGUAGUCCUGUAGGCAAAUGUAACAUUAAGUCUCAGGUAUGAACUCUGUGUUUAUAUUAAGCAUCUUAUUUUUUAUUUCUAUUUAAAAUGUCAUUCUGAUUGUGUUACUGAAUACUGGAAUGCUUAUUACCAGAAUUUGUAUUGGUAAACCUUAAUGACCUUGUCUAUGGACAAAAAAUUGUCUAUGAACGUGAUUGUAUUCAAAUGUACAGAUGUUACAGAGCUCCAGACUGUGCCAAAAAUGGUCGCAUUUGCCACCAAAAAAUAUUAAUUUGCUAGUGAAAUUUUUGCUGACAUCGCCACUUCCGGCUAUAUAAACUUACAUGUUGUGACUUUAAAUUUGCGUGUAAUUCUUUUUUUUCCUGCUGGUUUUGCCUGUUGCUAUGUUGACGUUAUAAAGUGACGAUAAAAAACAUUGGCUCCAGUUGGCAGCUUGAGAUAAUCGCAAUAAGCUUUGUGCUGUGUUACCUUUAAAUAAACAAAGUAUCAGCUUUAAAAUUCUGCCAAAUCACGAAUUUGCGAUGAAUGGACACCAAAG
Molecule: long non-coding RNA, 1607 nt
Organism: Cyprinus carpio carpio
Lineage: Eukaryota; Metazoa; Chordata; Actinopteri; Cypriniformes; Cyprinidae
Source: Ensembl